This 253-nucleotide ribosomal RNA is filed under the name uncultured bacterium. RNAcentral's name for it is "partial 16S ribosomal RNA". It matches the Rfam family "Bacterial small subunit ribosomal RNA", at positions 524 to 776 of the family's 1533-position model. The record is from RNAcentral.
UACGGAGGGUGCAAACGUUGCUCGGAAUCAUUGGGCGUAAAGCGUGUGUAGGCGGUCUGUUAAGUCGGGUGUGAAAGCCCUGGGCUCAACCCAGGAAGUGCAUUCGAAACUAGCAGACUUGAGUACGGGAGAGGGUCGCGGAAUUCCCGGUGUAGAGGUGAAAUUCGUAGAUAUCGGGAGGAACACCUGUGGCGAAGGCGGCCCCCUGGUCGGAUACUGACGCUGAGACGCGAAAGCGUGGGGAGCAAACAGG